ACCACAAAUAACCUUUCCCUUAUAAUUUAUUUUUGAGUGUAUCUUAUCUCAAAAGAUAAUUCUUGAUUUUCAAUUUUUUUUUUUUUGGUGCCGGAGUUUGAACUCAGGACCUUGCAUUUGCAAGGCAGGCGCCGGAACCACUGAGCUAAAUCCCCGGCCCUUGAUCUUCAAUUUUGAAGCAGUGCAGGCUAAGUUCUACCCCGUGGAAACUUGACUACAGCAACCCAGUUAAACGUGAACCCUGAAUUGCCUUCCACGGUCUUCGGGUGGCUGUGUAGGAAGAAACGUGAAACGGCGUCGUGGUAAUUGAAAGCGUCUGGUAACGGUUGGUUUCCUCUUUACUUUUCUCCUGCUUCGUGUUCAUUCGAGUUGAUGAGCUGAUUUGGAUGCUGCAGUAGAUGAGGCAAGCCCAGCACUUCCAGCCAGAGCCCACCUUGUAAGAGCAGGCCAGCUCGAGGGCCCAGGGAUUCAGCCACCUUCCAGAAGCCUUGUCUUCCAGCUCCUGUGGCCUUUGGGGGACACCCCCGAUCUAACCAGUAGCGAUGAUGAUCCUCCGCCUGCGAUUUUACCUUCUGAAUGGCUGAGCUGGGGCCAUGGUGUAGAGAGGACAGUGUGAGCGAGGACCACGUGGAUUUCUGGACAGGCUGCACUGUCUCCUGUGUGUCCCUGGGAAAUCUGUGGGUCUCCCUUGGCCCCAGUUUCCUCAUCUUUAAAAUGGAGAAACUUCAUUUCAUACUCUACAAAGUCACUUUCAACCCUUAUAUUUCUCAGCUCCAUGGGUUCAGAAGACAUGAGCUGCACUUAUUUACAGUGGCAAUUAACCCACAAGCAGCAAAGGCAAGCGGCUUAUUUGCAUACAGACAGAUUGCUAACGAGAAGACACCAAUAAAACCCUUCAGUAUUAAGAUGGGCUGUCCGGACACUGUCCCUCUGGAGGGGUCUAGACAGAGCCAGGCCACAAGGAGAAAUUCAAUUUAGCCUGAGUGGGUGUGCCAGGGUUAUCAGCGGCCCCAGGAGCCCCGCUGGUGUCUGGCUCCUGGGUGUGUGUGUGGGCGGCCUUAUCUCUGCAGUCCUGGAAUUUGGAACCAUUAUCUGCUGGAACACAGAGACUAAAUCUAAUGCUCCGGUCUGAUGGCCAGGUGAACAGUCAUCCACGUGGCGAUGCUGAUUGCGGUUGGUAAGGAGAGCUGGCAGUGGCAGCCGAAGACCGAGGUGGACGGCUCUGGACUGCAGCAGACCGCUGAGGUCACCCAGGAACGGUGCAUAGACCUCUGCGCAGCUGAGGUUCAGUCUUCAUCUUGUAAAUAAUUACCACCUGAUUCUUGUUACAAGCACAAAACAGAAGAAGGCCGCAAUGGCCCUUUGGAAACUGUAAGCCAACCCAUAUAAAGGACUGAUUUUCAGCAACUAAUAUUCAGCCUUUAUUAUGUACUGGGUUCAAUAUCAGCAAACAUGUGUUAAGUGCUUGUUACGUGGCAGCAUUGUUGUAGGUGUUUUGAAUAAAUCAGUUUAGUUCAUUCUUACAUCCUACACGAUAAAUAGUGUCCUAAGGCCCACUUAGGAGACUAGCAAAUAUACGUAAAGUAAUUUUUCAUAGGUCACAGUUAUUAUGUGGCUAAGCUGAUCUUCUGCCUUAUUCUAGAACUUGCAAUCUGAACAGUGAAACAUCCCAUAAUACACGCUUUUCACUAGAGUCAGGGUAAUGGGGCUUAUUUAGAAAUAAAUUCAACAUUUUAUGUAAUACAUUUUGCUUAUUUUGAGAUAUUAUAUUUGAUUAUUUUGGCUAAUAAAUAGCCAAAUAAUAAUAAAUAAUAAACAUAUUUCAAUGUCUUUAAAAAUUAUUCCUAGAUAUAACCAAAGGCAUCUGCCAUUAUAUUGAAAUGAGUCACUAAUCUGAUUUGACAUUUAGCUCUGUUCCAUUCUAAACGUUAUGACGAAUAUCUUUGUCUAUUAAUUUGAUUUAUUCUCAAAAGUGUAAUGAUGCAAAAGGAAAAAUGUCUCAUUUUAAAUUUUAUUUAAAACAAUCUAGUGCAGAUUUCAAGAAUAUCUAAAAGUAGGGAGAAUGAUCUCAUGGCCCUAGCUUCAGCAAUUGCCAUCACUCAAUCAGUCCUGUUUCAUCUAUUUCCUUCCCUCCACAGCAAUUCUGAAGCAAAUCCUAGAUGCUGUCUCACCGGUAGCUAUUUCAUCAUGUCUUUCUAAAGGAUAAAGACUUUCUAAAAACUGUCUGCAAUGUCAUUGUCACACCUAAAACACUUAUAAAAAUUCUUUCAUAUUGCCAAAUAUUUCAUCAGUUCACAUUAUAUGUUUAUAUAUUUGAAUCAUUAUUUAAAUAAGUUCUAUACAUUGUGAGUUAAUAGUUUUUUAAAGAUUGCUUAUAUCUAUAGAUCCUCUCUCCCUCCCUCCCUCCCUCCCUCUCUCUCCCCCUCUCCCCCUCUCCCCCGCCCUCUCCAGUGUUGGAUCAUUUUUCCUAAUUGCAUCCCCGAAGUAUUAACCUAUUCCUUUCUCCCUCUUACUUCUUGUAAAUUGGUAGAUCUAGAAACUUGGUCAGCUCACAUCCUACCCGGUUCAAGUCUUUUCAGUUCUCGCAAGUUGGAAAAUGCAUUUGCAGUGAACAAACUCAGGUUAGGAUUCAUCUUGAUCAACCAUGCAUGGUGGCCAAAACUAUGGAAUUACUCUGGUUGGGCUGAGGGGUAGGGAGUAUCAUCCAAACCACAUGGGCGGAGCAAAGGGGGCUGAUGCUUCAUAAAACAGAAAUUGGAAAUUUAAAAUAGAACAGUGUUUUAAAUUAAACAAAGUGUGGAUGGAUGCUAACAGGGCAAAACCAGAAAAUACUCCCUGGUCGGCAGUGGACCACAUAAAUGGUGUGGCACCAUAAGAUUAUACUGGAGCAGAAAAAUCUCUCUCCCCUAAGUGACACUGUAGCUGUCACAGUGUUGUAGUGCAACACGUCACUCAUGUUGUUUGUGGUGACAUUGGUGUAGACAAGACUGUUAUAAAAUACAGAACAUGGAAUUAUGUACAGUACAUAAUGUGUGAUGAUAAUAAAUAUCAUGAUGCUGUUUAUGUAUUUACUAUACCAUACUUUGUAAAAUUUUAAUUAAUGCAUAGCCGUUAGAAUAGUGUGUUUUGUUUGGGCAUAUUCAUACAAGCAUGUAACAUACUUUGAUAAUUUUCACCUAGCUCCAUGACCUUCUUUUCCCUUUCCCACUUUUCCUUCCCUAUCCUUUCCUCUUCUCGAAUAGUCUCCCUUCUACUUUCCUGUCAUCAUGUUCUUUAAUUUUUAGAUUCCACAAAUGAGAGAAGACAAUGUUUUCUGAGUCUGGCUUAUUUCACUUAGUAUGAUAAUCUCCAACUUCAUCCAUUUCCCUGCACAUGACAUGAUUUCAUUCUCCUUUAUGGCUGGAUAAUAUUCUGAUGUGUAUAAUUGCCACAUUUUCUUUAUCUAUUCAACUCUUGUUGGGCACCCAGGCGUCUCUGUAACUUGGCUGUUAUCAAUUGUAGCAUAAUAAACAGUAUGCAAUUAUCA
Molecule: long non-coding RNA, 3526 nt
Filed under: Heterocephalus glaber (naked mole-rat)
Lineage: Eukaryota; Metazoa; Chordata; Mammalia; Rodentia; Bathyergidae
Description: lncRNA (ENSHGLG00000033051.1)
Source: RNAcentral